AUUGAACGCUGGCGGCAUGCCUUACACAUGCAAGUCGAACGGCAGCGGACCUUCGGGUGCCGGCGAGUGGCGAACGGGUGAGUAAUAUAUCGGAACGUACCUUUCAGUGGGGGAUAACGUAGCGAAAGUUACGCUAAUACCGCAUAUUCUGUGAGCAGGAAAGCAGGGGAGUCGCAAGACCUUGCGCUGAUUGAGCGGCCGAUAUCAGAUUAGCUAGUUGGUGAGGUAAAGGCUCACCAAGGCGACGAUCUGUAGCGGGUCUGAGAGGAUGAUCCGCCACACUGGAACUGAGACACGGUCCAGACUCCUACGGGAGGCAGCAGUGGGGAAUUUUGGACAAUGGGCGCAAGCCUGAUCCAGCCAUGCCGCGUGAGUGAAGAAGGCCUCGGUU
This 391-nucleotide ribosomal RNA is filed under the name uncultured bacterium. Its description in RNAcentral is "bacterial SSU rRNA". It matches the Rfam family "Bacterial small subunit ribosomal RNA", at positions 30 to 424 of the family's 1533-position model. The record is from RNAcentral.